RNAcentral lists this ribosomal RNA (468 nucleotides) under uncultured bacterium. RNAcentral's name for it is "partial 16S ribosomal RNA". It matches the Rfam family "Bacterial small subunit ribosomal RNA", at positions 28 to 507 of the family's 1533-position model. The record is from RNAcentral.
GACGAACGCUGGCGGCGUGCUUAACACAUGCAAGUCGAACGGAAAGGCCCUGCUCUUGUGGGGUGCUCGAGUGGCGAACGGGUGAGUAACACGUGAGUAACCUGCCCUUGACUUUGGGAUAACUUCAGGAAACUGGGGCUCAUACCGGAUAGGAGCUCUUGCUGCAUGGUGGGGGUUGGAAAGUUUCGGCGGUUGGGGAUGGACUCGCGGCUUAUCAGCUUGUUGGUGGGGUAGUGGCUUACCAAGGCUGUGACGGGUAGCCGGCCUGAGAGGGUGACCGGCCACAUUGGGACUGAGGUACGGCCCAGACUCCUACGGGCGGCAGCAGUGGAGAAUAUUGCACAAUGGGCGGAAGCCUGAUGCAGCAGCGCCGCGUGCGGGAUGACGGCCUUCGAGUUGUGAACCGCUUUCGCCUGUGACGAAGCGUGAGUGACGGUAAUGGGUAAAGAAGCACCGGCUAACUACGUG